AUUUUAGAAUAUCCUUGUCUUAGCCCAGGUUACAUCAACUGGCUUAUUUAGAGCUUCAUUGAACAAUAUUAGCAUUUAAGUGUAUUAAUUUUAAAAUGUGAUUGUGUAUGCAAAUCAUUAGCUAGACAUGGCGUUAUACUUCAGAAAAAUUAAUUACAAAUCACUUUAUUCUAAUUGGAAAUGUGAAAAUUUAGACUUUGGGAAAAAACCCACAAAACUUAGUUUAACCCUUUGGUUUCCACUUCAUUGUUUUGACUCUGUAUUAUAAUAAAUAUUGAAAAUAGAUCCUGGACAGCAGAACCAUAUACAUUAAUGUAAGGCCUGUCUAAUACCAAGGGCUAUCAUUAGACUCUUCGUAUCUUAGCUUCUGUUUCAGGAAGUGUUAUAUUGUUAAGACUGGACGUUGGUAUGGGCCUGAAUCAUUUACUUGUAUAGCCAUUUAGUGUUGUAACUGUGACCUGUGUCACCUGUUACAGUGCAGGGAGCCUUGUGCCUUCAUGUGUAGUUAUAACUUAAGGUAAUGCAAAAACAAUUGAUGAUUCACUAAUGAAUAUAUUACAUAGUUUUAAAAAGCACCGAGACGAUUCUCCAUGCAUUGCUUUAAAGCAAAGUUAUAGAUGCCGUUUUCUUUGCUGUUUUUAGGUUUAAAACUCUGAUCUUUAAUUUUAAUAACAGAAGCUUUGAUUAUGAAAUACAGAGUCAUAAAAUAAUCGAUUAAAUUCCUUAAUUGUCAUUUAUUAAAAUAAUGAAUAAUCAGAAGUUGAUCUUCUUGAUGACUUAUUUUUCUAAACAAUAAUUGGUCCUGAGCAUUUUAUUACUAAGAUGUUUUAUUCACUUUAAUGGAUAGCUUAAUCCUUUGAACCAGUAAAUAUCUUUCUUUUGCU
This 884-nucleotide long non-coding RNA is filed under the name Bos taurus (domestic cattle). RNAcentral's name for it is "long non-coding RNA NONBTAT004877". The record is from RNAcentral. Lineage: Eukaryota; Metazoa; Chordata; Mammalia; Artiodactyla; Bovidae.